RNAcentral lists this unclassified non-coding RNA (306 nucleotides) under plant metagenome. Its description in RNAcentral is "partial contains 5.8S ribosomal RNA, internal transcribed spacer 2, and large subunit ribosomal RNA". The stretch from base 1 to 105 matches the Rfam family "5.8S ribosomal RNA", at positions 50 to 154 of the family's 154-position model. The record is from RNAcentral.
GAAAUGCGAUAAGUAAUGUGAAUUGCAGAAUUCAGUGAAUCAUCGAAUCUUUGAACGCACAUUGCGCCCGCCAGUAUUCUGGCGGGCAUGCCUGUCCGAGCGUCAUUUCAACCAUCAAGCCCCCGGGCUUGUGUUGGGGACCUGCGGCUGCCCGCAGGCCCCGAAAACCAGUGGCGGGCUCGCUGUCACACCGAGCGUAGUAGCAAUCACCUCGCUCAGGGCGUGCUGCGGGUUCCGGCCGUUAAACAGCCUUACAAAACCCAAGGUUGACCUCGGAUCAGGUAGGAAGACCCGCUGAACUUAAGU